RNAcentral lists this ribosomal RNA (402 nucleotides) under uncultured bacterium. RNAcentral's name for it is "bacterial SSU rRNA". It matches the Rfam family "Bacterial small subunit ribosomal RNA", at positions 355 to 774 of the family's 1533-position model. The record is from RNAcentral.
UCGGGAAUUUUGGGCAAUGGGCGAAAGCCUGACCCAGCAACGCCGCGUGAGGGAUGAAGUAUUUCGGUAUGUAAACCUCGAAAGAAUGGGAAGAAUAAAUGACGGUACCAUUUAUAAGCUCCGGCUAACUACGUGCCAGCAGCCGCGGUAAUACGUAGGGAGCAAGCGUUGUUCGGAUUUACUGGGCGUAAAGGGCGCGUAGGCGGCGCGGUAAGUCACUUGUGAAAUCUCUGAGCUUAACUCAGAACGGCCAAGUGAUACUGCUGUGAUAGAGUGCGGAAGAGGCAACCGGAAUUCUUGGUGUAGCGGUGAAAUGCGUAGAUAUCAAGAGGCACACCUGAGGCGAAGGCGGGUUGCUGGGCCGACACUGACGCUGAUGCGCGAAAGCCAGGGGAGCAAACG